Molecule: ribosomal RNA, 253 nt
Filed under: uncultured bacterium
Lineage: Bacteria
Description: partial 16S ribosomal RNA
Rfam family: Bacterial small subunit ribosomal RNA
Source: RNAcentral
UACGUAGGGUCCGAGCGUUGUCCGGAAUUACUGGGCGUAAAGAGCUCGUAGGUGGUUUGUCGCGUUGUUCGUGAAAACUCACAGCUCAACUGUGGGCGUGCGGGCGAUACGGGCAGACUUGAGUACUGCAGGGGAGACUGGAAUUCCUGGUGUAGCGGUGGAAUGCGCAGAUAUCUGGAGGAACACCGGUGGCGAAGGCGGGUCUCUGGGCAGUAACUGACGCUGAGGAGCGAAAGCGUGGGGAGCGAACAGG